UGCAAGUCGAGCGGACCGACGGGAGCUUGCUCCCUUAGGUCAGCGGCGGACGGGUGAGUAACACGUGGGUAACCUGCCUGUAAGACUGGGAUAACUCCGGGAAACCGGGGCUAAUACCGGAUGCUUGAUUGAACCGCAUGGUUCAAUCCUAAAAGGUGGCUUUUAGCUACCACUUACAGAUGGACCCGCGGCGCAAUAACUAGUUGGUGAAGUAACGGCUCACCAAGGCGACGAAGCGUAGCCCAACUGAGAAGGUGAUCGGCCACACUGGGACUGAAACACGGCCCAGACUCCUACGGGAAGCAGCAGUAAGGAAUCUUCCGCAAUGGACGAAAGUCUGACGGAACAACGCCCCGUGAGUGAUGAAGGGUUUCGGAACGUAAAACUCUGUUGUUAGGGAAGAACAAGUACCGUUCGAAUAAGGCGGUACCUUGACGGUACCUAACCAGAAAGCCACGGCUAACUACGUGCCAGCAGCCGCGGUAAUACGUAAGUGGCAAGCGUUGUCCGGAAUUAUUGGGCGUAAAGCGCGCGCAGGCGGUUUCUUAAGUCUGAUGUGAAAGCCCCCGGCUCAACCGGGGAAGGUCAUUGGAAACUGGGGAACUUGAGUGCAGAAGAAGAAAGUGGAAUUCCACGUGUAGCGGUGAAAUGCGUAGAGAUGUGGAAGAACCCAGUGGCGAAAGCGACUCUCUGGUCUGUAACUGACGCUGAAGCGCCAAAGCGUGGGGAGCGAACAGGAUUAGAUACCCUGGUAGUCCACGCCGUAAACGAUGAAUGCUAAGUGUUAGAAGGUUUCCGCCCUUUAGUGCUGCAGCAACGCAUUAGCACUCCGCCUGGGGAGUACGGUCGCAAGACUGAACCUCAAAGGAUUGACGGGGGCCGCACAGCGGUGGAGCAUGUGGUUAAUUCAAGCACGCGAAAACUUACCAGGCUUGACUCCUCUGACACCCUAAAAUAGGCUUCCCUUCGGGGCAAAUGACAGUGGUGCAUGGUGUCGUCACUCUGUCUGAAUGUUGGUUAGUCCGCACGAGCCAACCUUGAUUUAGUGCAGCAUCAGUGGGCCUCUAAGUGAUGCCGUGACAACCGAAGAAGGGGGG
Molecule: ribosomal RNA, 1097 nt
Filed under: bacterium
Lineage: Bacteria
Description: bacterial SSU rRNA
Rfam family: Bacterial small subunit ribosomal RNA
Source: RNAcentral